This is a long non-coding RNA of Amphiprion ocellaris (clown anemonefish), 666 nucleotides long. RefSeq lists it as uncharacterized. The record is from RefSeq and is a predicted model, not a curated record. The transcript is spliced from 2 exons. Lineage: Eukaryota; Metazoa; Chordata; Actinopteri; Pomacentridae.
UGCAAACUUUAUUUGGUUGAUUUCCUUUUUUUUCCCUAAAAAUUCUAACAGAGAAUGUCUUUACCUGAAUUUUUGGUAACUGUCCUCCUGCCUCUUCCAGGGUUGAGAGUAACGUGCCACCACUUUGUCAAUGACCUCCCUGUAACACACAAACGGGUCAGGUGUAAAGGCAACUUACUUGCUGAUGAACAUGAACCAGAUGAGCGAGGUGAACAGACUCCCCAGGAAGAGGAGGGUGACCAUCAGAGAGAAGAGUGACUUCAGGAGCUGUCCCCUCAUACCUCACCCCUCCGGCUAACCUCACCCGUUAGCCUCCUUCACCUCUGGUCUCCCCCCCCACCCUGUCUGUGCUGCUCUACCUUUAACCCUCGCCCUGUCCGGCACCCUACCCGGCUUCUCAGACUUCCUCCCCCCUUCUCCUCAGACACUGUUAAUCUUUUCUUUCUUCUGUUUUCUUUUUACCUCUCUGUCUUCCUCCUCCUCCUCCUCCUCCUCCUCCUCACCCUCUUCCUGUCUGACUGGCUUGACUCAGUGUCUCUCAAGCCUCCUCAGUCAUUCUUCUGUUUUCUGCCUCUUGUUCGGGCAAGUCCUCAUCCCUCUGUUCGCCUCCCCUGCCUCCCUCUGCUCGGGUCAGCUGUGUCGAUAUUCGGUUGCUGCACAUCCCAC